AAUUGUGUGUUUGUAUGUAGUGGAAAGAUACGUAAUCCUCUCACCUGGCCAACUUGUGCAACUUUUUUUCAGAUAAGCAUAAACUUUAUUGUGUUUCGAACUAGCUAGAUAAGCUUGUUAUUCACAGGUUAAUUAAUAUUGAUAAGGACAAUGAGGAUGGACACGCGAAAGUGCUGAAGGACUGAAUAAUUAAUGUAAUAUUGAUGGGUAUUGGAUCGAUAAUAUGUGGGAUGAAACAAUAAAUGCCGUGUUAAAUAAAAGCACUUUGCAAAAUUAGUGGCAAGACAGAUAUUCGUUAUGUUUCGCUUUCACAAUUUUCAUGCAUAUAAAUACUUAUGUACAAUACAUUUUCUGAGAAAAGUUGUGUUUAGCAUGAAAAAUUGUUGGUAAAUUGCAUGAAGAUUAGGGGUUUAUUAAAAAAACUUACGUAAUUUCGAGAAUGACAGAAUCAUCAGGUGUCGAACAAGGGUCAGCACAAGUUCUGGGGCUCAGAAGGCGGACAUUAUCGGAUAAAAAUGGAGACUUAAAUAGUUCUUGCAUAUUUUAUGUUUGCAUGGUCAGAUGUAUUUUUUUUAAUUUACAUAAUGCACAUGUAUUUACUGCGAUGUGUAUGAUUGCAUUAUUUUUCAUUUAAAAUAAGGAAAUUUGUUCAUGCUAAUAAAUAAGUACAUGUGUACGUCGGUACAUCAAAUAAUUUAUUUAUCAAUUAGAUUACACGGAAGUUUUAGUGAAUAAAGAGGAAAUAAGUUUACUUUAUUUGUCAAUUAUUUAGAUUGCUAUCUACGAUUCAAUGCGUAGAAAAGGACGAAAAAAUUGAGAAAAAUUAUAAUUUAUUGAUCAUUUCAAGAGAGAAUAUUGCAAAGUUUAUUUAUUUACUAUAUUUCUACAUAUAUAUUUAAAAGUAAAAUAUAUAAACAAGGCCCCAAAAAAUGGGAAAUCUUAGUGAGUCAGCACAAUCACAGUUAAUAAAUAAAAUUAGAUUGAAUAAUUUUUUCAUCACCGCUCUCGGUAUAAUUUUUCCUGGAAGCAUUAAUUAAUCAUUUAGAAUAAUUGCCCCCCCCUCAAAGGGUCUGGAGAUUUCAUCUGAAUAGGAAUUAAUAGGAUAUCUAAAUUUAUAUAUCGAAAUUGUAGAUUUUCAACUCUUUCUAAAUUUAAAAUUCGCAGUUCACAAUUAUAUUUCAUAUCGAUUAAUUUAUUCAACUUCUCGUUCAAUAGUAAAAACGUCAUCUUGUAAUCUCAAUUAAUUUAAUGAAUGCAAGAGUUCAUGCGUAUGCAAAACUAAAUUUACAGUGGACCCAGUAAAAAUUAUCCCGAGAGCGGUGAUGCAAAAGUUAUUCAAUCUAAUUUUAUUUAUUAACUGUGAUUGUGCUGACUCACUAAGAUUUCCCAUUUUUUGGGGCCUUGUUUAUUUAAAACUUGUAAUUUGGUUGUCAAAGACAUUAUUUUUACUGCACAACCGCCGUUAUUAUCGGCACCUUGAAUAUUUUUAUUAAAUUUUUGAUUUUCAAACUUGAAUAACGCCGUUAUUUCUCAACCGAUUUAGGUCAUUUUGGGCUUAAAAUGUCCGGAAUGACUUUGACUAAAAUAUUUUCAAUAAGCGAGCAUGCUGGGAUACACCACUUAUGAGUCAUAAAAAUAAAUAUGUUUU
Molecule: long non-coding RNA, 1648 nt
Organism: Folsomia candida
Lineage: Eukaryota; Metazoa; Arthropoda; Collembola; Entomobryomorpha; Isotomidae
Exons: 2
Source: RefSeq, a predicted model, not a curated record